GACGAACGCUGGCGGCGUGCUUAACACAUGCAAGUCGAACGGAAAGGCCCUGCUUUUGUGGGGUGCUCGAGUGGCGAACGGGUGAGUAACACGUGAGUAACCUGCCCUUGACUUUGGGAUAACUUCAGGAAACUGGGGCUAAUACCGGAUAGGAGCUCCUGAUGCAUGGUGGGGGUUGGAAAGUUUCGGCGGUUGGGGAUGGAAUAUCGGCUUAUCAGCUUGUUGGGGGGGUAGUGGCUUACCAAGGCUUUGACGGGUAGCCGGCCUGAGAGGGUGGCCGGCCACAUUGGGACUGCGAUACGGCCCAGACUCCUACGGUAGGCAGCGGUGGGGAAUAUUGCACAAUGGGCGGAAGCCUGAUGCAGCAACGCCGCGUGCGGGAUGACGGCCUUCGGGUUGUAAACCGCUUUCGCCUGUGACGAAGCGUUAGUGACGGUAAUGGGUAAAGAAGCACCGGCUAACUACGUG
RNAcentral lists this ribosomal RNA (468 nucleotides) under uncultured bacterium. Its description in RNAcentral is "partial 16S ribosomal RNA". It matches the Rfam family "Bacterial small subunit ribosomal RNA", at positions 28 to 507 of the family's 1533-position model. The record is from RNAcentral.